AGGAAGCAAACAGCCAAAUCCAGAACUUGGGAAUUCUACAGGACAACUGAUCCAGUUUAUUCAACAAGUUAAUGGUAAAAAAAGAAAAAGAAAGAGGUGUGUGGGUGGCAGUGGGGUACUUUAGAGUAAAAGAGACUUAAAACAUAACUAUUAAUGUUAUGUAACUUUGGACUCCAAGUUAAAUAAAUCAACUGUAAAAUAUAUAAGACAGUCUGGAAAUUUGAACAUAGAUUAUCAGACGUUACCAAUUAAUUAUGUUAAUUUUGUUAGCUAUAACAAAGGCAUCGUGGUUAUGUAAGAAACCAUUCCUUUUAGGAGAUGUACAUCAAAAUAUGUGAGGGGAAAUGACAAUAUCUGGAAUAAUCUUUAAAAGAAUUCAGAAAAAAAGGAAUAAUGAAGCAGGGAUAGCAAAAUCUUAGCUGUUGAAUCUAAGUGACACAUACAAAGAUGUUCACUAUACUAUUAUUAUUCUCUACUCUUUGGUAUGUUUGAAAUUGUUUAUCAAAAACUACAUAUUUAAAGAUUUAAACUGUUAACAAAAAUGUAGGCCACAGAUGAGAUAUACCCGAAGGCCAAACACCCAUCACCAGAUAAGCAAAACUUAAGUCAUCCUGAUUUCCUCCAAAAUUCUCUCUCUAAUCAUAAACACAGAACAUAAGCUUUAUGUCCUUGUCAGCAUGCUUCAGUGAAAUGAAACCAAUCGACUAUAGAAAAUCAGCUUAAACAGCUGUUUGCCUUUAAAAGAACAAUUUAUAACAGCCAAUCACAAAAAAGGUCAAAAUACUUCCUCCUCUGUGCUUUAUAAACUGUGCUGUAACUGCUUUAAGGUGAGCUGCUUACCACUUGGUUUGAAGUAUCCUGGAUUGCAAUCUGUACAAAUUCAAAUUUCCCCUAACUUAAUCUGAUUUUAUUUUUCACAAAACAAAAGGAAAAUGCUUUCCCUUGACUCUUUCUCUUCCCAUGGGAAUGUGGGUGUGGUGGUGGUCCAACUUCAACCAUACAGAUUUUUAAAAUACCAUAGGACAGAGGUCAGCAAACUUUUUCUAUAAAGUGCCAGACAGUAAAUAUAUUAGGCUUUGCAGGACUUAAAGCCUCUGUCCCAGCUACUUGGCUCUGCCACUGACUCAUAAAAGGAUCCAUAGACAAUACAUAAACAAAUGGGCUGGCUGUGUUCCAAUAAAACUUUAUAUACAACAGGUAGUGGACCAGAUUUGGCCCACAGAUAGUAGUUUGCCAAUCCUUGUCCUAGGAUAUAAUGGCAGUGCAACAAAAUCAAAGGAACCUGGAUCCUGGAUGAUGGCAUGGAGUAGGGCCACCCCACCAGCAUGAAUCACUCUCCUCCGGACUGUUACAUGAGGAAGAAAUAAACUUGUAUACUGUCUGAGGCCUUUUACUUUUUAGUUUCUUUGUUAUAGCAGCUUACCCUAUACCCUGAUACAGUGAAAGUCAAAGUCUUAAGAAUGAAAAUGGUCAACCGAGGAAAAUGGCGUUGGCCAUGUUGGUGCUAGUGGUUCCGCCAUGGCCGGCAGCCCGGGGUCUCUUCCGAAACUGUUGGGAGCAACUACAGCGGAAGCUUCAGCAGAGCCAGCCAGGAUUUCCCAGUCCUCCGUGGGGAUCAGCAUUAGCAGUCCAGGGUCCAGUCUUAUUUACAGAGCCAGCAAAUGAUGCAAGUGGAAGUAAGGAAACUUCCAGCCUUUCGGAUAGUAUCUUUUGGAUGGCAGCUCCCAAAAACAGACGCACCAUUGAAGUUAACCGUUGUAGGAGAAGACACCCUUGGAAACUUAUUAAAGUUAAGAACAAUAUAGACACGUGUCCUGAAUGUGGUCACCUGAAACUCAAACACAUCCUUUGUGGCUAUUGCUAUGAGAAGGUGCGCAAGGAGACAGCAGAAAUCCGACAACAGAUAAAGAAACAAGAAGGGGGCCCUUUUAAGGCUCCCACCAUAGAGACUGUGGUGCUGUACACGGGAGAGACGCCAUCUGAACAAGAUCAAGGCAAGAGGAUCAUUGAACGAGCCAGGAAGCGAUCAUCCUGGUUCACCCAGAAUUGACACCAAAGAUGUUAAAAGAGGCUAACUUUACAGUAAAACAUUUUUCCUAAAAGAGAG
Molecule: non-coding RNA, 2107 nt
Organism: Microcebus murinus (gray mouse lemur)
Lineage: Eukaryota; Metazoa; Chordata; Mammalia; Primates; Cheirogaleidae
Source: RefSeq, a predicted model, not a curated record